This 406-nucleotide ribosomal RNA is filed under the name uncultured bacterium. Its description in RNAcentral is "partial 16S ribosomal RNA". It matches the Rfam family "Bacterial small subunit ribosomal RNA", at positions 30 to 526 of the family's 1533-position model. The record is from RNAcentral.
AUUGAACGCUGGCGGCAGGCCUAACACAUGCAAGUCGAGCGAGCGGCGGACGGGUGAGUAAUGUCUGGGAAACUGCCUGAUGGAGGGGGAUAACUACCGGAAACGGUAGCUAAUACCGCAUACCAUCAGAUGUGCCCAGAUGGGAGUGGCUAGUAGGUGGGGUAACGGCUCACCUAGGCGACGAUCCCUAGCUGGUCUGAGAGGAUGACCAGCCACACUGGAACUGAGACACGGUCCAGACUCCUACGGGAGGCAGCAGUGGGGAAUAGUGCACAAUGUGCGCAAGCCUGAGGCAGCCAUGCUGCGUGUAUGAAGAAGGCCUUCGGGUUGUAAAGUACUUUCAGCGGGGAGGCGUUACACGCAGAAGAAGCACCGGCUAACUCCGUGCCAGCAGCCGCGGUAAUUC